This 807-nucleotide non-coding RNA is filed under the name Macroglossum pyrrhostictum. The record is from RNAcentral. Lineage: Eukaryota; Metazoa; Arthropoda; Insecta; Lepidoptera; Sphingidae.
AAAAUUCUAUGUGAAAAAAUUUACAAAUAAAUAAAAUUUUUUAUGGUUUUGAAAAUUCAUUUUAAAUUUAUUUUACAUAUAAAUUUUAGUGUUAAAUAUUGAUUAUUUAAAUAAUAAUUAAUUAUAAUUAUAGUAAUUAAUUUUAAAAAUUUAAGAAAUUAAGAUUUAGUAAUAUUUAAAUUAAUAACUAAUUUUGUGCCAGCAGUUGCGGUUAAACAAAAAUUAAUAUGAAUUUUUUUAGUGUUAAUAAUUAAUUAUAAUUGAAAUAAUUUAAAUUUUAAAUUAUUAAGUGAAAUUUUUAUUUAAUAAAAAAUUAUUAAUAAAUUAUGAUUUAAUAAAUUUUAUAAAAAACUAGGAUUAGAUACCCUAUUAUUAAAAAUUUAAAUUUAUAAUACUAAAAUAGUAAAUAUUAAUUAUUGAAACUUAAAUAAUUUGGCGGUAUUUUAGUUUAUUUAGAGGAAUCUGUUUAAUAAUUGAUAAUCCACGAAUAAAUUUACUUAAUUUAUUAUUUUGUAUAUCGUUGUUAAAAAAAUAUUUUUAAAUAAUAAUAAUAUUUAAAAUUUAAAAUAAAAAGUUAAAUCAGAUCAAGAUGCAGAUUAUAGUUAAGAAUAUAAUGGAUUACAAUAAAUUUAUUUAAAUUGAAUUUUAAUAUGAAAAGAUUAAAUGAAAUAGGAUUUAAAUGUAAUUUUAUUUAAAUUGAUAAAAUGAUUAUAAAUUAAAAUAUGUACAUAUUGCCCGUCGCUUUCAUUUAUAAAUUGGAAUAAGUCGUAACAAAGUAGAGGUACUGGAAAGUGUUUCUAGAAAGAU